This 580-nucleotide ribosomal RNA is filed under the name Epicoccum nigrum. RNAcentral's name for it is "eukaryotic LSU rRNA". It matches the Rfam family "Eukaryotic large subunit ribosomal RNA", at positions 57 to 653 of the family's 3401-position model. Lineage: Eukaryota; Fungi; Ascomycota; Dothideomycetes; Pleosporales; Didymellaceae. The record is from RNAcentral.
AAAAGAAACCAACAGGGAUUGCCCUAGUAACGGCGAGUGAAGCGGCAACAGCUCAAAUUUGAAAUCUGGCGUCUUUGGCGUCCGAGUUGUAAUUUGCAGAGGGCGCUUUGGCAUUGCAGCGGUCCAAGUUCCUUGGAACAGGACGUCACAGAGGGUGAGAAUCCCGUACGUGGUCGCUAGCCUUUACCGUGUAAAGCCCCUUCGACGAGUCGAGUUGUUUGGGAAUGCAGCUCUAAAUGGGAGGUAAAUUUCUUCUAAAGCUAAAUACUGGCCAGAGACCGAUAGCGCACAAGUAGAGUGAUCGAAAGAUGAAAAGCACUUUGGAAAGAGAGUUAAAAAGCACGUGAAAUUGUUGAAAGGGAAGCGCUUGCAGCCAGACUUGCCUGUAGUUGCUCAUCCGGGUUUUUACCCGGUGCACUCUUCUACGGGCAGGCCAGCAUCAGUUUGGGCGGUUGGAUAAAGGUCUCUGUCAUGUACCUCCUCUCGGGGAGAUCUUAUAGGGGAGACGACAUGCAACCAGCCUGGACUGAGGUCCGCGCAUCUGCUAGGAUGCUGGCGUAAUGGCUGUAAGCGGCCCGUC